Molecule: ribosomal RNA, 254 nt
Filed under: uncultured bacterium
Lineage: Bacteria
Description: partial 16S ribosomal RNA
Rfam family: Bacterial small subunit ribosomal RNA
Source: RNAcentral
UACGGGGGGAGCAAGCGUUGUUCGGAUUUACUGGGCGUAAAGGGCGCGUAGGCGGCCACCGCAAGUCGACUGUGAAAUCUCCGGGCUUAACCCGGAAAGGUCAGCCGAUACUGCGGGGCUAGAGUGCAGAAGGGGCAACUGGAAUUCUCGGCGUAGCGGUGAAAUGCGUAGAUAUCGAGAGGAACACCUGCGGCGAAGGCGGGUUGCUGGGCUGACACUGACGCUGAUGCGCGAAAGCUAGGGGAGCGAACGGG